This 297-nucleotide ribosomal RNA is filed under the name uncultured bacterium. RNAcentral describes it as "partial 16S ribosomal RNA". It matches the Rfam family "Bacterial small subunit ribosomal RNA", at positions 29 to 351 of the family's 1533-position model. The record is from RNAcentral.
AACGAACGCUGGCGGCAGGCCUAACACAUGCAAGUCGAACGGGCGUAGCAAUACGUCAGUGGCGGACGGGUGAGUAACACGUGGGAAUAUGCCUUUCGGUUCGGAACAACUCGGGGAAACCCGUGCUAAUUCCGGAUACGCCCUUACGGGGAAAGGUUUAUCGCCGAAAGAUUAGCCCGCGUUGGAUUAGCUAGUUGGUGAGGUAACGGCCCACCAAGGCAACGAUCCAUAGCUGGUUUGAGAGAACGACCAGCCACACUGGGACUGAGACACGGCCCAGACUCCUACGGGAGGCAG